RNAcentral lists this ribosomal RNA (986 nucleotides) under Triticum aestivum (bread wheat). RNAcentral's name for it is "partial small subunit ribosomal RNA". Lineage: Eukaryota; Viridiplantae; Streptophyta; Magnoliopsida; Poales; Poaceae. The record is from RNAcentral.
UCUUGUCUUACAGACUUCUUCGUAGAAGGUCAUCGUCACGGUUUCCCUGACUUGCUUGAAGUUUAGUAGCAACACGCUAAACUUCUCUUCUAAAUAUGACGUCGCUGGUCAGUCCAUUAAAUUAGACAGAACCGCCGAUGAGUUUCGUCUAGUAUCAAAUAAAAUAAAAAUCAAUACCCACAGUUUGUUCCAAAAUACCCGAAUAUUAUCUCGUCUUGACAGGGGUUUACAACAUCUCCUAUGAAAAAUUCAGUACAAAUCAUGGUACAUAUUGAUACUAAGUUUAGAAUUUUCGACUUCGUGGACGAGCUCGUACGAUUUAAGGAUUAGUUGGUCUUGAGAACCAACGUUCGGUGGUAAUCAUUAAAUCAGGGUCCGCCACCAGUAACGCUGCUGUGUGCAGUCCAGUCGAUUAACGAAGAUAAAGAAAGUUGGUCAUCAUGCAUCAUCGAUACCUCACUCUACACGAUUAAUUAAACAUGGUGGCAUGCGAAUAUCUCAAGGGGAAAGAAAACAAAAAUACACAUUGUCGGUUCUACUACACGAAAUGUGAAUGUUGAGCACGACUGACUUAGCCUCGUUCGGAGGAUGGUCAAGGUGGUACAUUGUGAGACGUCCAACAGCUUUAUUCUAUCACGAGACAUCACGUAAGGUUAAGUCAACCCAUGGGUCCUCGGGGUGGUUGGACGUCAUUAAUAAGUAGGGUAACAGCUGUUGAUGUUCUACCCUGGGUUGAAGUUCUCUCCGGUUUACCAAAGAGGUAUACCGCCUUGUAGUGCUCAUAUCUCAUGUUUGUGUAUACGUUUCGAGUCCGUCUUAGUUACCGACCCUGACCCUCUACUAGCAGUAAGGUUCAUCGGAGAACCUACCAGCAGCCAAAACCACCGCUACGGCUACUAGCAACUCUCCAAACACCUGACCUGCCACAGUACCAACGGUUACAUGCUUCUCCGUUUCGACGACGAGCAGUAGAUGGAGACCGUGGG